UUUCCGUAGGUGAACCUGCGGAGGGAUCAUUAAUGUGCCAGCCGGAUCCCCUGCGGCGUCCCCACAAGGGCGCCCGCAGGCUGUCCUGGCUAAACGGCCCCACACUUGUCUAUCGACCGCGUUGUCUCGGCGGGCCGUCCGCGUUGUCGGCGGCCGGGGAGCCCCUGGGGUCCCCUGGUCAGCGCCCGCCCGAGUACCGUUCGAACCACUGUUUUCAGCUAGUGCAGUCUGAGCGAAUAUUUUAAAUAUUACAAAACUUUCAACAAUGGAUCUCUUGGUUCCGGCAUCGAUGGAACGCAGC
Molecule: unclassified non-coding RNA, 301 nt
Filed under: plant metagenome
Description: partial contains small subunit ribosomal RNA, internal transcribed spacer 1, and 5.8S ribosomal RNA
Source: RNAcentral